Molecule: non-coding RNA, 7456 nt
Organism: Anas platyrhynchos (mallard)
Lineage: Eukaryota; Metazoa; Chordata; Aves; Anseriformes; Anatidae
Source: RefSeq, a predicted model, not a curated record
ACAUGAGCAUGGGGAGGCAGAAGUGCUCUGUAAGGCUGGGGGUUAUAAGACAAGAGAUCACUUCUUCGGUUUACUUUUUCCUCCAGCCUCUAGCCAGGCCUCCUCUUCCAUGUUCCCAGUACUUGGGGGGUCCUCUAGUCCUCAGGCUAAGCAAAACAAACUUGUUAUUUUGCCCUCUCUUGCAGAGCUCUGGGGGACCUCAGGUCCAUUGCACUGCUGAGGAGAGUGCUUUGGAGAAACCAUGCGGAGAGAGCAAUGAUUGAUGUGGAAAGUGCCAGUAGCACAGCUAAGCCUGGACUAGCUCUUCUUGGUGGGUGGAGGAGACAGUCCUGCUGUUCAGAGGGGCAUGUGCUGUCCUCACUGAGCAUGGAAGUCAGGGACUGUGGGAGGCUUGAGAACAUUUUCUUUCAGUUCCCUUUGCUUCUUCAGAUUUCCAGUUUUUCAUCUUAUAGUCUCCCCAGCCUCUUGAUGGUUUGGUUAGGUUUCUCUGCCUGCAGGUAUCCAGAAGCUUCAGUGCUUUUGUUUCCCACAGAUUAUUUUUGUUUCUUUGCACAGUGAAUCAUCUUUCACUGAGAAUAAGGUUUAUUUCAGCCCCAGAACUGAAGAUGUUCUGUUGGCGCUUUCUCUCCUCUCUCACAUUCUCCUGGUUAUCUUUCCACAGUUUAGCGCACACAGGUGGCCAAAACCUUGAGAGCUCACAGACCUUUAGCAAAGCACAUCAUGAAAUCUUUCACACCACAGGAUGGCAGCUUUAUGUUGCUUCUGUUUCUUUAUAUGGAUGAAGUGCUGCUCAAUACAAAGCUUUUUUAUACUGAUGUCCAUGAUUCUGCAUUCAAGGGAUGCUAAAAAUUAUAAAGUGACCAGUUAGCUAAAUGUUAUUUUAUUCUACUGAAAUGGAAAGACUGAAUAUUUCACACUGUCAUUUGCUUGUUUGUUUCUUUGUAGCUUCACGUAGUCUAACCCUAAUGCAGGCAAUGACUCCUGACCCAGAGGAGCUUUCUGGCUCUGGGAGCUUUGUUGCCCCAGAGAUCUCAGGGACGGAGAACAAUGCACUGAGAGACCUUGUGGUCUCAGGGGUUACAGACCACAGCCUUAGUGUCUCGUGGUACGCGAACACAGGAGCCUACACUAGUUUUGUGGUGGAGUACAAGGAAGUGUCAUUGGCAGCUGGGUCCCCUGCAGAAACCUUCCUUCCUAAAGAUUCCCUAGGUGCUGUGAUUGAAGGCCUCCAAGCUAACACUUCCUAUAAAAUCAAGGUGUAUGGAUUGGCUGGAGAACAGCGCUCCCCUCCUCUGGAAGCUGUGGCUACAACAGGUACCUCCUUUCUGUUACUAACUAAGGUACCACAAAGCAGGGUCUCUCUUGUUAAAGGUCCUUCCCAGCAUUGUGCUCAGGUUUUGGUUUAGAACUACUUCAGAAGUCACAGAAAAUGAGCCAUUUUACUAGUUGGAGGGACCUUCCUGCCAGCAUGUCUGGAGAAUGUUGUGCGAGAUUGACAACUAAUCUGCAGAGCGAGCACGUAACCCAGCUCUGAGAAAGCUGAGCACUCAGACUGCAGCUUUGUUCCUUCUUGUUCUGGUUCUGGAGCCCUGCCUGCGUAGCACAAUGUGGGUCCUGGAGGAGGAGGGAUGGCAAUACAUCAGGCAUGAGAAGGCUGUGGAAAUAAAUGAGUGAACAUAAGAGAAACCAAGUGCCAACCUCACAUUCCUCUGCUGAAGGACCCAGAUUGUGCAGCAACUGCUGAUGAAUCAUGGAUAAGAUACUGUCUUGCCUCUGGAAAUGAGUUGCACAUAGGAGCAUGGCUUGUAGAAGCAAGUUGUCCAUUCUGUUGAAUGUUUUUAAGAAAAUUUAUGUUUUUUACCAAAGACCCUUGUCUGUGUCAUGCGUCAGUUGCUCUUCCUCUCCUGGCUUCUACCAGUCUCAGAUUGCACCACCCUUCUUUAUACAAACUCAAAGGAACAUUAGGAGGAGUGAUUAGGUGACCUAGUUCAAUGGGAAACUGCAGUGCCGACUGCUGGGAAAAUGGAUUUACCAGUAAAGGUUGUCCAUUUCUUCAGCUGAUUCCUCUGCUGAGAGUACCUGGGAUCUCAGACUUCAAUAUGAGGAUUUUUAGCUCUAGUUUCUGUAUUAUUUCUGGCCUGUGAUAUUAUUGCAAUGCUUUAUUAUUGGAACUCAAGGGUGCAAAGGCACUGUAAGACCACUUAAUCAGCUGGUUGAGAGAGGGGAAAGCCAUUUAGCCAAAGGGUUUUUAAAAGAACACUAAUAUCUUGGUAGGCUGUGGUUCUGCAACCCUCUUUCAGAGAACUGUAGCCAUAUCCUACAGUGAGGUCGAUCUGAUGAGAACUUCUGCAGUGAAACUGGCUGAUAGCCCUUCUUGGAAAACAAUGUAAAAUCCAAGAGACGGAAGCAAGAAAUAAUACAGAAUACUCUUUGCUCCAUCCUGAGUAACCGGGGAAAUGUCCUGGCAGGACAUUAACAUUCUUCUUAGUAAAAACUCCAGUGAAGCAUUACAGUGGAAUUCCUCAAAAGGCCAGCAGCAGCAGUGUGGACAUAUUUAGGCCAUAUUCAGCCUGGAGAUUCUACUAAGAGAAUGAUAUUAAGAAAUAUUCCAGUCUGAGAAAGAGCGUGUUUAUUGUCCAUCCAGUUCCCUUCCUCUUUACUUUCAGCUCUUUGGCAUUUACUAUUUAUUCAUCUCACCAUCAUGCAUCAGCCUGUCUGGCUGUCAUCCACCCACCUAGAGCUCCUAUAGCUCUGUUUUCUUCCCAUAUAUUCCCCUGCUUGCUUUGUCAAGUGUUUGAUCUGCAUUGGUCUUGAUAUCCUACAGUUUGUUUUCCAAAUUUUCUGUUAUCCACUCUGUAGCUAAUAUUCUGUAUGCUAAACGUUGAAUGCUGAUAUUAUCUAUGGUAUCCAAGUGUUUUCUGCAUGUUCAUAUCACUUGCAUUUUUCUAUCCAUUGCAUGUUUGUACACAAAGCCACAUAUUCCUCUAUUACACAAUGUACUAAUAGGUGUGUGCCUGUGCAUUUAUAUGUGCGUGUAGAUAGUAGACCACCCUUUCUCGACCACAAAUUCAUUUGUGGAGUCCACCAUUAAACACAAGAUAAUACUCAGAAUUAGGUUUGAAAAAAGUUUCAGAGAUAAUGUAACUACAUAAAUUGUACGUGCUUUGUAGGACAGCCUGUCCAUGGUAACCACCCAUGUAGUUGUCAAAGAUGUCACAAAGAAAUUAACCCACUUGUGACAGCAAAAUGCUGAAUUAAAAUGCCAGUUACAGGAAUUGGUCCCUCCUUUUUUAGAUAAUGCAGUUGAACUGUUGCUGUGUUUCCCAUUUGUGUGUUUAUACUAUAAUUGGUGGGAAUUUUGGAUAAGUAUCAAUAGGGAUGCUCAAGGAAAAUGAGGGGAAACGAGAAGCCAAUUUUGACUAAUAUUUCUUGGGGUUUCUGAAGGAUUCUUAGUAUGCCAGCUUAAGGACAGCCUCAUGUUUUCAUUUUCCCUUCUAUUUUUGUACACUUAGUCCUGGUUUUUGAAUUCAAGGUGCGUGGCAGUUCCCCAGUGGGACCUUCCAUGGCACGGAGCUUACCUGUAUAAUGUACUGCUCUCUUCCUCUGUGCUGGUCUGUUCACUCCCUCUAUUUAUGCAUGUCUCCUGCAGAAAUAAUCCACAGUAAAGCCCAGCUGCCACUAUGCAUGUUAAGUAUUUUUAAGCCUCUUUAAGUCUGAACAAGUACCAGUGCACUUGCUUGAUGCCAUAGGUUUUUGCCUGUUCCCAGCGCUAUGAUUGUGCAAAAGCAGCUGAGAGUCAGGGCAAGCUACCGGUUCAGUGCUGCAUGUCCUCCUGCUUUGUUCCCUAGGGAUGUUACAGAAGUUCAGUCACCCUUGUGUGGUCAGGGAAUAGUUCUGACAGCACAUUUUCCAAGAAAGAAUGAACUACGCUAGCAGUUACCAUUGCACAUAUGCUGGUGUGAUGACAACUUUGCUGUCUUCGGGUUGCACGAUAUGUAGGACCUGGUUCAGAUCACAUGCUGGUGUAAUUUAGGAGGACCCUUACCUAAGUCAACUGUCACUGAUAUGAUAUAUGUAAUAUAUAAUAUAUGUAAAUAUAAGUCACUGCCUCACAGGCUUUGCUCUUUUCUGGAGGUGAGCAGAAAGCAACGUUUCUACAUCUAUACUUCUCCUGAGAGUAUAUUUUCAAGAUAAAAUUUCUGCAUUUAUUUGAAAACAGUUUAAGUUGUUCUUUCUCAUCUAAAACCUUUUUUUUUCUUUUUUCUGAUACAUGUGUGAAUUUGGAGACAGAUACUGAAUCCUGAGUACGUAUUUGUGCUGAACUGACUGAUGGUGGUAGAUGACUCACUCUCUCUUAAUUGAAUGCCAUGGAGCAUGAAAGCAAGGCAGUCAUCGAGCACAUCUAGUCACAUCACCUGGAGAAUCAAACAGUGAAACAUCAUUUAAUCCUACCAGUCCUGCACCUACAGAGCUAAGUUAUUUAACAAACCCGAGUCCUGGUUCUCAUGCUCUGCCUGUGGUGCCCACUGACCUUCCCAUCUCAGAAGUCACUGAUGCUCUUCGUGACCUAAAUAUAACACACAGGACUUCCAGUAGUUUCACCCUGUCUUGGGCAGCACAGGAUGAGGUAUUUGAUCAGUUCCUUAUCACUCUGAAAGACCUGUCCAGCUCAAACAGAACGCAGGAAAUCUUUUUGCUGGGAAACCAACGAGAAACAGAAAUUACCAAUCUCACAGCUGGCACACAAUACCAGAUUAACCUCCAAGGAAGCACUCAAGGUCAGCUCUCUUGGUCCCUGGAAGCUCUAGCUGCUACAGGUAUUUUCUAUGGAUUCAUUAGCCACGUGUUCCUUUUCUGCUUUGAAAUACAGAACUCCAUUUUCGUACUGCUGUUCCACUGCAGAAAUGCUAGGCUUUGUGAGUGAUUCCUUUUUUCUUAUUUUUUUUACUUCUUUUUGCACGGAUAAAACUCUUAUUGCUAUGGAAUGAGAACUUUGGGUUAUGUAGCAUGGACAAUGCCCCAUACAGCUUUUAAAGUGAUGUAGCAUCAAUUCUCUCUUUUCAAAUUGCAUGCAAAGAGGAGCAUUGAUGCAUCUGCUAUUUACAAGGGACAUGAAAAUAGCAAGAUAUUACAGGGAUUGUGGUCCAGAGCACCCAAGAAAAAUCACAAGGAGGUUGCAGUUUGCAGCAUUGGCAUGGAAGUGGUGAUGUUAGAGGAAAAAAAAGAUUGUAACACAUUGGGAGUAUACCUGUCUGAAAACUUCUUACCUCUUGUCCCUCUUAAAUGAAUUUCAUGAGGAAACAGGCUUGUAGCCACAGAGUUCAGUUCAAUAAUGUUGCAAGAAACAAUGUCAAAGUUAAUUCCUGAAGAACAUAGCCAGAGACUAAUGACUAUAGCAGAUCAUCAGCCAAGAAUUAAAUUAUGAUGUGCGAUAAGAUAUUCACAUAGAAACACAAAGAUCAUUGUGAACCUAGUACAUGGCUAGAGCAGUCUUAUCUCUCAAUGGUUUGUUCUCUCUUUUUUUUUUUUAAGCUAAGAAACAUCAUCCCUUGAUAGCAUUUGCCAUGACAUUAUCAUUGUUUUGUCACAUAUGUUGAAUGCUUUGUGGAUGAGGCUUUCAGAGAUCUCCAGCUGUCCAACCUGGUGCAUGAUUUUAUAUGAGAAUCUCUCGGUCCCUAGAGAGCAUGAUGGGGUUGAGUGCACUUCCGUUUCAGGCAUGCAUGAGAAAUAAAUAGGAGAAAAAGGGACUCUGCAUCCCAGAGGUGAAUGAAACUGAGUACUCUUUGGAGAAAUUUGAGUUGCUUCUAAGCUGUGAUGGUUACUGCAUUACUUAUUAUAAUCGUGCUUUUAUGUGAAAUAUUUUGCCUUGCUUUAACUUUUGGUUUAGUUUCAUUUUCAUUUUAGCAAUGUGUUUGUUUUAUUUAUUUCUGUUGCCACCAAAAGAUCAUUAUUUCUGAUUCAACCCAUUCCUUUUUUGUUCUGCUUUCUUUUUCAGCUAAAUGGUGCUAUCUUGACAUGAUUUAUAUUUUGCCUCUGAGUAUUUCAUUCCUGUUACUGAGGAAGCUAAACAGCUCUAGGAUUCAUGCAUUUUUUUUGUUGAACAUGGUGUUAUUUCAUAAACAAUCUCUUCCUUUCUAGCAGGAUAGGAAAAGCUUGUCAAGACUUUGAUGUUCCUGGAUAGUAAUAUUUGCUAUACAUUAGUGACUCUCACUGAUGGUAAUUGACUGUUACCCAUGAGUGUUACCUCUCAAAAUGCAGCCCUACCUACCUAUACAAUGCUAUGCAGCAGUCACACAAGAGAUUUUCUGUUUUUUACAGGAAGAAAAUUUAUAUGAAUAAUGUUGCUAAGCCUAGUUCUCAUUUAUUUCAGAGCCUUACUGACUCAAAUUUACAUAGAGUCUGAAGUUGAAGUUUAGAACUGAAAAAAUCAGAUCCAUUUCCCUUUAUGUGUCAUAUCUCUUACAAAUGCUCAGGCAGGCAGAUUGGGAUUAUUUAGCUAGGCUCAGUUCUUACUGUAAUGCCGAUGUGUUAACAAUGCAAGGAAGUGAGAAAAGUGCUAGAAACUUAUCCCAGCCCACUGGCCAAUGAUAGAUCAUGUAGCAGGAUUUUCCAUGUAGAAAAAGUAAGGUAUUACUGUGUCAUUUUCUCAUGUGACUGCUAACUUUUAAGAAAAUCCUCAGUACUGGAGGAUUUUCUAUUCCUGCUGAGAAAACAACCUAAACUUUCAGAUAAAACAGCAUCAGAGAGUUAGUUCUGAUGGUUCCUGACUUUCUAGGCCACCCUUGUGGAUGGCAUACAAAAAUGUUGAUUUCUGUGAAUGUAGAUUUCAAUUUUAGAUUAAUAUCAAUAACUCUGAAAAUCCAAGCUUCUCUGCCUCCAGAAAGGUUUUCGGGGCAGAAUAAUGUAAUGUAAUGAAGAUAACUCCAUUAAACAAUUCUUAACUGUUUCUGAUUAGAAAUAGUUUGGAAGAAUAAAUAUCAUCCUUCAAUUAAAAGCAUAAACAUCAGAAUCCCGAGUAGUAGAUGCUCAGCAUCCUUCUAGCCUUACAAUAGGCUUACUGCAGUAUUCACAGUCACUUUAAAAUGACAAACACCAAGUCAUUAAUAGCUGGAGUAAAGUGGUUAUAGUAAUACUUACUUGUCUCAUAGGGAGUUGUAAUUAAUAUUGGCAAAACACUCGCAGCUGUAAGACAGUCUUUAAACCACUUUCUGUAAGCAGUCUUUUAGCAUUACUGUGAAUAUUAUUUAUUAUUAUGGUUCUUUUCUUUCUGUUCUGUCUUGCCAAGUCUCUGAAGAGACUUUAUGAGUUAUCCGGGGCAGCUGAGAAUGUCAAUGUGUGUGGGGGUGCAUUUCCGUGUCACUUGCUUACAAAUGAAGUUCAUUAGCUCUGAAAGUCAUUAAGUAAUACCUCACCACCACCAGUCUGUAAUCUGAGUAACUGACUGACUCUCUGUCCU